AGCAUGGAACAGGCUGUGUGCAGCUGCUGUGUUUUCCACUGAUUAAAUUGAUAGUUACCUACUGAGUGGAGUUGCUAGGAGAAGAGCUCGUAAACUGCAGGAAUUCUGAUGUGCUUCAGUGCACAGAGCAGUAACAGAUGAGCUGCUUUCCGGGAGAGCUCGAACACUCAGACGGUCAGUAGUACAGUAGCAAGCUCACACGUGUGGAUCGUCCCCGUGAGGAGCUUCAGGAUGGGGUCGACUGCUACAGAAAUUGAAGAACUGGAAAACACCUCUUUUAAGUACCUCAUAGGAGAACAGACUGAAAAAAUGUGGCAACGCCUGAAGGGAAUGUG
Tupaia belangeri chinensis (Chinese tree shrew) is the source of this 335-nucleotide long non-coding RNA. RefSeq lists it as uncharacterized. The record is from RefSeq and is a predicted model, not a curated record. Lineage: Eukaryota; Metazoa; Chordata; Mammalia; Scandentia; Tupaiidae. The transcript has 3 exons.